Small nuclear RNA from Mesocricetus auratus (golden hamster), 103 nucleotides. The record is from Ensembl. Lineage: Eukaryota; Metazoa; Chordata; Mammalia; Rodentia; Cricetidae.
GUGCUCGCUCCCGCGGCACACACACGAAAGCUGGAACGAUACAGAGAACAUUAGCUUGGUCCCUGCGCAAGGAUGACACGCAAAUUCAAUUCUGAAGCAUUGU